This is a long non-coding RNA of Tachyglossus aculeatus (Australian echidna), 1157 nucleotides long. RefSeq lists it as uncharacterized. Lineage: Eukaryota; Metazoa; Chordata; Mammalia; Monotremata; Tachyglossidae. The transcript is spliced from 3 exons. The record is from RefSeq and is a predicted model, not a curated record.
CAGCACUUAGUACACGCCUGGCACAUAGUAAGCACUUAACAAAUACUGUUAAGGAAAAAACCAGGGAGAGGCAGCUCUGGGCCGAAACAUCUCAGACAUCUCUGAGCCAGGGGAGGGAGAGAGGUGGCUGUGAAACUCCCACCCUAGGGAGAGCUUGGUCAACCCUCCUGACUUCUCCCUCCGUAUAUGACGUGGGGGUGCCAGGGGAGCCCAUUUUCCGGUUGGGGAAUGGGGAAGUGUAAGCUAGAGCUUCCUCUUUCUUAGCUUGCGAGCCCCUCUUCCCCACCCCUGUGGGACGGGAACCGUGUCCAAUUCCUACCUGGGUAGUCUCUCGCAGUGGUGAGUACAGUGCUUUGCACACAGGAAGGUGAGAUCACAACCCAACAGCCCCCUCCCCGGACCAAGACAGAAGUAGCCACUGUUCCCUCAGGGUCCUUGGGAUGGUAACUUCUAGACCAGGAUUGUCUCAAGGGCCGUUGAAUCAGCCCGUGUGAACGGGGCAUUGUACUUGCAAGAAAUUGUCCACCUCUGCUGCCCUGCUGUAUGCUAUGUCUGCUUGGACCGGGAACCCCACGUGGAACGAGGCCGGCGUCCAACCUCUCUUCUGUCUUCCUCGAUGCUCACUACAGGGCCGGGCGUGACGUAAAGGCUUAAAGACCACAACGGGGGAUGUUCCACUUUUCCGGAAACUGGUCCAUACUGAGGGUUUCCUGCCACGACGUUUGCCGUCCAAUAUGCCGAUCUGGUUUAUCUCCUGGCUGAGGGAGGUCUGCUUUCUUCCAUUUCUUCCCCAUCCGUGUGCCUGGAGCCGUAUUGGCAACCUGGCCGAUCGGUGUUAGGGAGCGUCCUCUCAGUCGAUCAGGCCCCUCCACUCCAAAUGGUUGCAUUUUUCUUUCUAGUUCUGCUGCAUCGUUGGCACAUCCAGCAUGGGCUCCGGAGACGAGGAGGCGCGUCCAGUCAUCGAGCUGGUUGGAAAUCAUCUCGGCGAGAGCGGGUCACUCUGCUUGGCUCCUGGGCGUGGGUUCGUUCCGUUAGGUCUCCUCCGGGAGGACUGUGGACGUCGAGUCAAUCGCUGUUUUGUUGAGCGAUUGAAAGCCCUGCUGAAUUUCACUGGAUCGAACGGUUUCACGCCAAUCGAUAAACAGAAAGCCAACGGG